UGGGGAAUAUUGCACAAUGGGGGAAACCCUGAUGCAGCGACGCCGCGUGAGCGAAGAAGGAUUUCGAUUCGUAAAGCUCUGUCCUAUGGGAAGAUAAUGACGGUACCAUAGGAGGAAGCCCCGGCUAACUACGUGCCAGCAGCCGCGGUAAUACGUAGGGGGCGAGCGUUGUCCGGAAUCACUGGGCGUAAAGGGUUCGCAGGCGGUUUAGAAAGUCAGAUGUGAAAGGCGAGGGCUUAACCCUCGUAAGCAUUUGAAACUGAUAAACUUGAGUAGUGGAGAGGUAAGUGGAAUUCCUAGUGUAGCGGUGAAAUGCGUAGAUAUUAGGAGGAAUACCGGUGGCGAAGGCGACUUACUGGCCACAAACUGACGCUGAGGAACGAAAGCGUGGGUAGCAAACAGG
This 403-nucleotide ribosomal RNA is filed under the name Peptoniphilus sp. enrichment culture. Its description in RNAcentral is "bacterial SSU rRNA". It matches the Rfam family "Bacterial small subunit ribosomal RNA", at positions 355 to 776 of the family's 1533-position model. Lineage: Bacteria; Bacillati; Bacillota; Tissierellia; Tissierellales; Peptoniphilaceae. The record is from RNAcentral.